RNAcentral lists this ribosomal RNA (656 nucleotides) under uncultured fungus. RNAcentral's name for it is "eukaryotic LSU rRNA". It matches the Rfam family "Eukaryotic large subunit ribosomal RNA", at positions 24 to 664 of the family's 3401-position model. Lineage: Eukaryota; Fungi. The record is from RNAcentral.
CCCGCUGAACUUAAGCAUAUCAAUAAGCGGAGGAAAAGAAACUAACAAGGAUUCCCUUAGUAACUGCGAGUGAAGAGGGAAAAGCUCAAAUUUAGAAUCUGGCAGUUUUACUGUCCGAGUUGUAAAUUAGAGAGGUGCUUUCACCAUUGGCCUGUGCAAAAGUCUCUUGGAAAAGGGCAUCAUAGAGGGUGACAAUCCCGUCUUUGGCACAGACAACCAGUGAUAUGUGAAGCGCUUUCAAAGAGUCGAGUUGUUUGGGAAUGCAGCUCUAAAUGGGUGGUAAAUUCCAUCUAAAGCUAAAUAUUGGCGAGAGACCGAUAGCGAACAAGUACCGUGAGGGAAAGAUGAAAAGAACUUUGAAAAGAGAGUUAAACAGUACGUGAAAUUGUUGAAAGGGAAACGCUUGAAGUCAGUCGUGUCCGUCAGAAAUCAACUUGACCUUUGGGUCUUGCUUACUUUCUGUUAGACAGGUCAGCAUCAAUUUUGAUCGUUGGAUAAAGGCUUUGGGAAAGUGGCAUCUCCGGGUGUGUUAUAGCCCAUUGUUCAAUAUACAAUGAUUGGGAUUGAGGAACUCAGUGUGAAUUUGGGGCAUUUGCCCACACUACGCACUUAGGAUGCUGGCAUAAUGGCUUUAAUCGACCCGUCUUGAAACACGG